Molecule: long non-coding RNA, 399 nt
Filed under: Homo sapiens (human)
Lineage: Eukaryota; Metazoa; Chordata; Mammalia; Primates; Hominidae
Description: HSALNT0374348
Source: RNAcentral
UUACCCAGACAUUGGAUGGAACGUUUUACUCAUUUAGCAAGAGACAGAGCAGGUUUAGCCUUCAUAGUAAGCCUCGGUCCCCCAUGGCUAUUGCCUCUUCUCCACAAACUUCAUGUACUGCAGACGAACAAGCAAAGACCCCACAAGGCUAAUUUUCAGAGCUAGUAAAUGAGAGAAGAGAAUACAAGGAAAAUGAAGAAAGACAAAAUAUUAGCAUCUCUGACAUUUACAGAAUAGAUGGGAGAGAAGAACCUGGAGGAAAGCUGUAAAGGGUACAUCAGAGAGUGCCUAUCUUGAGGAUUGGAACAUACGUAGUGGAUAUUCUAUUGUAUUUGCUGAGAGAUUGAUGGAAUCAAUGAUAAAUGAGAAACAAAGGUCAUAAUGUGUCCAGAAUUGGUG